Molecule: unclassified non-coding RNA, 208 nt
Filed under: Glomus sp.
Lineage: Eukaryota; Fungi; Glomeromycota; Glomeromycetes; Glomerales; Glomeraceae
Description: partial contains 5.8S ribosomal RNA and internal transcribed spacer 2
Rfam family: 5.8S ribosomal RNA (bases 1-65)
Source: RNAcentral
GUGAAUCAUCGAAUCUUUGAACGCAAAUUGCACUCUCUUCUGAUAGUAUGCCUGUUUGAGGGUCAGCCUAAAAAAAAUCAACGUAGUCGCUGUUUCGCGGUGACAUUCGUCGGAAAUUGGGUCAUCUUAAACCUUUGGGUUUUUAAGCGGCUUAAAAUUUUCUUUAUGAUUCUACUAACGCUUCUAAGUUUUUACUUCUAACACACGU